CCGCCCCCAGCUCCUCACCAGGCAAACCUGGGCAUAUGGGCCUGCCCCUGCUGGUGAGGUGGCCACAACGGUGUGUGGGAAUGGGAUGCUCUGUGACCCAGGUGGUGUGGGCUGAGUCCCGGGAGCCAAAGGGCAGAGGCAGGAUCAGCCACGGGAUUCCAGCCUUGGGAACUCCCAACCCCAGGCUCUGGGGAAGGAGCAGACACACACCAAUGUGCGAAUGCAGCUGCAACACUCGCUGGAAGGAGAGGUGACACUGUCUGGGGCGUCUGGGAAGGCUGGUCAGAAGAGGUGACGCCUUGGCAGGGCUUGGAGAGGGAGGUUCCAGCAGGGUCGGCCUCACACACAUGAAGGGUCUUGGAUGUCGACACUGGACAUCCUUCCCCAGGGAGGUAGUUCAUUCAGUCAUGGAACAUUUCAAGGUGGGAAGAAGGUGUUCAUCACAUGGCUAUGAUCAUGUACCCAUUGCAGACCACCCUGUCCUGGGGGCAUGAGGAGUUCAUCUCCUAAAUCAGUGGUUCUCAACAGGGACAGUCCUCCCUCCCCAGGGGACAUUUGGCAAUGACUGGAG
This 571-nucleotide long non-coding RNA is filed under the name Homo sapiens (human). RNAcentral's name for it is "non-protein coding DNAJB8-AS1:1". The record is from RNAcentral. Lineage: Eukaryota; Metazoa; Chordata; Mammalia; Primates; Hominidae.